GGGCCCGCACAAGCGGUGGAGCAUGUGGUUUAAUUCGAUGAUACGCGAGGAACCUUACCAGGGCUUAAAUGUAGUCUGACAGGGGUGGAAACACCCCCUCCUUCGGGCAGAUUACAAGGUGCUGCAUGGUUGUCGUCAGCUCGUGUCGUGAGUGUCAGGUUAAGUCCUAUAACGAGCGCAACCCCUGCCGUUAGUUGCCAGCAUGUAAUGAUGGGGACUCUAACGGAACUGCCGGUGCAAACCGUGAGGAAGGUGGGGGACGACGUCAAAUCAUCACGGCCCUUACGUCCUGGGCCACACACGUGCUACAAUGGGUGAGGUACCAAGGGAAGGGCACCCCCCAGGGGGGAG
This 351-nucleotide ribosomal RNA is filed under the name uncultured bacterium. RNAcentral describes it as "bacterial SSU rRNA". It matches the Rfam family "Bacterial small subunit ribosomal RNA", at positions 917 to 1267 of the family's 1533-position model. The record is from RNAcentral.